UGGAGUUUAGGUGUUAGUAUC
RNAcentral lists this non-coding RNA (21 nucleotides) under Arabidopsis thaliana (thale cress). Lineage: Eukaryota; Viridiplantae; Streptophyta; Magnoliopsida; Brassicales; Brassicaceae. The record is from RNAcentral.